GUUCAGAUGUUGAAGCUUGUCUGAAAAAUCAAUACCUAAGAUAUACACAGUCAGUCUGGUAACAAAAGUUUACCCCUGAGAUCUGCGUACGUGCAGGAAAGCUGAUCAACAGUAUGUUAAGCUAAUCAUCAAACCACCAACAAAAGUGUGGAUUAUAUGCUUUUAUUACUUUUUAGAUGACAGCAGGUAGGACAUACUUCUAUAGGACGAUUCUUUGCCUACGUGAUGAUAGACCAAUAGGGUUAAAGGGGGGAGUUUGUUUGGACAUUAAAAAAAUGUUAAUCUGUGAUACUAUAAAAUGUAUUGAAAUUCCAUAUACACUCAUUGAAUGCGUGCAAUAGGGC
RNAcentral lists this long non-coding RNA (344 nucleotides) under Mytilus galloprovincialis (Mediterranean mussel). Lineage: Eukaryota; Metazoa; Mollusca; Bivalvia; Mytilida; Mytilidae. The record is from RNAcentral.